UACGUAGGGUGCGAGCGUUGUCCGGAAUUAUUGGGCGUAAAGAGCUCGUAGGCGGUUUGUUGCGUCUAUCGUGAAAACCUGCAGCUUAACUGUGGGCUUGCGGUGGAUACGGGCAGACUUGAGUUCGGUAGGGGAGACUGGAAUUCCUGGUGUAGCGGUGAAAUGCGCAGAUAUCAGGAGGAACACCGGUGGCGAAGGCGGGUCUCUGGGCCGAUACUGACGCUGAGGAGCGAAAGCGUGGGGAGCAAACAGG
This 253-nucleotide ribosomal RNA is filed under the name uncultured bacterium. RNAcentral describes it as "partial 16S ribosomal RNA". It matches the Rfam family "Bacterial small subunit ribosomal RNA", at positions 524 to 776 of the family's 1533-position model. The record is from RNAcentral.